AGUUUGAUCAUGGCUCAGAUUGAACGCUGGCGGCAUGCCUUACACAUGCAAGUCGAACGGCAGCGGGCCUUCGGGUGCCGGCGAGUGGCGAACGGGUGAGUAAUGCAUCGGAACGUGCCAUUGAGUGGGGGAUAACGUAGCGAAAGUUACGCUAAUACCGCAUAUUCUGUGAGCAGGAAAGCAGGGGACCGCAAGGCCUUGCGCUCUUUGAGCGGCCGAUGUCGGAUUAGCUAGUUGGUGAGGUAAAGGCUUACCAAGGCGACGAUCUGUAGCGGGUCUGAGAGGAUGAUCCGCCACACUGGAACUGAGACACGGUCCAGACUCCUACGGGAGGCAGCAGUGGGGAAUUUUGGACAAUGGGCGCAAGCCUGAUCCAGCCAUGCCGCGUGAGUGAAGAAGGCCUUCGGGUUGUAAAGCUCUUUCGGCCGGGAAGAAAUCGCAUGGGUUAAUACCCUGUGUGGAUGACGGUACCGGAAUAAGAAGCACCGGCUAACUACGUG
RNAcentral lists this ribosomal RNA (500 nucleotides) under uncultured bacterium. Its description in RNAcentral is "bacterial SSU rRNA". It matches the Rfam family "Bacterial small subunit ribosomal RNA", at positions 10 to 507 of the family's 1533-position model. The record is from RNAcentral.